Molecule: ribosomal RNA, 225 nt
Filed under: uncultured bacterium
Lineage: Bacteria
Description: partial 16S ribosomal RNA
Rfam family: Bacterial small subunit ribosomal RNA
Source: RNAcentral
AGUAACGCGUGGGGAACCCGCCCUAUACAGGGGGAUAACAGCUGGAAACGGUUGCUAAUACCGCAUAAGCGCACAGAAUCGCAUGAUUCAGUGUGAAAAGCCCUGGCAGUAUAGGAUGGUCCCGCGUCUGAUUAGCUGGUUGGUGAGGUAACGGCUCACCAAGGCGACGAUCAGUAGCCGGCUUGAGAGAGUGAACGGCCACAUUGGGACUGAGACACGGCCCAA